AAAGGAAUUGACGGGCACCCGCACAAGCGGUGGAGCAUGCUGUUUAAUUCGAAGAUACGCGAAGAACCUUACCUAGACUUGACAUCCUUGGCAAUGCUAUAGAGAUAUAGCGGAGGUUAUCCGAGUGACAGGUGGUGCAUGGUUGUCGUCAGCUCGUGUCGUGAGAUGUUCGGUUAAGUCCGAUAACGAGCGCAACCCUUAUUGCUAGUUACUAACAUUUAGUUGAGAACUCUAGCGAUACUGCCGGUGACAAACCGGAGGAAGGUGGGGAUGACGUCAAAUCAUCAUGCCCCUUACGUCUAGGGCUACAGGCGUGCUACAAUGGCUGGUACAAAAAGUUGCGAUACCGUGAGGUGGAGCUAAUCUCUAAAACCAGUCUCAGUUCGGAUUGGAGUCUGCAACUCGACUCCAUGAAGCUGGAAUCGCUAGUAAUCCUGAAUCAGAAUGUCAGGGUGAAUACGUUCCCGGGUGUUGUACACACCGCCCGU
This 488-nucleotide ribosomal RNA is filed under the name uncultured bacterium. RNAcentral's name for it is "bacterial SSU rRNA". It matches the Rfam family "Bacterial small subunit ribosomal RNA", at positions 903 to 1397 of the family's 1533-position model. The record is from RNAcentral.